ACAAUAGAACUAAAAAAGCUCACUCCCCAGUUGAAUGAAAAAAAUAAAACAAUCCUAAAUCGCUGCUGAGAAAAUCUAAUACGUUGUUGCAUCAAGGCAGUGCGAUUUACAGUGCGUCAACGGCGCGCGAGUGCGUCAAUGGCAGCCCACAUUUUUCCCAGUGUGUCAACGACAGUGCGAGUGCAUCAAUAGCAGCCCAUCUUUUUCCCAGUAGAUUUUGUAUUGAUGUCGGUCGAUUGAUUUACAAUAAACCAGUUCCUAACUCGCUGUUCAACAGCCUGACGUAAUGCCCGUCCAUCUUCUUCCCCUAUUUGGGCCACUCGGAGUUGGAUACUUGUGGCGAGGGCAUCGUUUCUUAGUGAUUUUUGUACCGGUUCGAGAUCCAGGUACUUCUGAGCAGGCGUACCGCUAGUAGCUGUUAGGGAGCAUAUUGGAGACUUGAGAUGGUGAGGACACGCACGACCCAGGACGAUCAGGCACCCGCACCCCCUCCUGUAGCCGCUAGAGGUAGGGGCCGGGGCAGGGGUCGUGGACGUGCGCGGGGUGCAGCCAGAGCACCUGCGUGAGCCGCCACCGAGGUACCACCAGCGGAUCUAGCCAAGACUCAGGCACCUAACACGCCCACAGUCACCACUACUCCAGCUGUUCAGGAGAUCCAGGUACUUCUGAGCAGGCGUGCCGCCAGUAGCUUUCAGGGAGCAUAUUGGAGACUUGAGGUAUACAUCUGCUACGUCCGCAGAUCCGCAAAGUCUCCUUCUCAUUCUAUCCAUAGAUAUUAGCUGUCAUUUUGAUCCCUUUUGUAUUAGACUACUCUGGUGACUAGAGCAGUGUAUGAUUUCUUAUGGCCUGUGUUGCCCGUGGGUUUCCGGGUCUUGGUGGUUAUUCAGUAUUCUGUAUUAAAGUGUAUGUGCCAGGCGGCAAACCUAUACAUUUCCUUUAUGUUAUUCGGCAUUCUACUA
Molecule: long non-coding RNA, 959 nt
Organism: Nicotiana tabacum (common tobacco)
Lineage: Eukaryota; Viridiplantae; Streptophyta; Magnoliopsida; Solanales; Solanaceae
Source: RefSeq, a predicted model, not a curated record